AAUUAAUCAUAUAUUACAUUCCUAAAGCUCGAAACCCAUUCAUGAUUAAGGGGGGAGGGAUUACCAUUAAUGGUGCUUGUAAACAGUGUAGGAAAAGGAGUUCCACUAGGACAAAAAGGCAAGAAAGACGGAAGACAAUUGAAAGGCGAAGCGAAAACGAUACGGCUGAAAGCUACGGAUUUGUGAUAGGCUAGUCCGAAAUGAAGCAACUGGUGAGGGGCCUUUAACUCGUCAAAUCAAUGAAGAGAUUUUU
Molecule: long non-coding RNA, 253 nt
Filed under: Nicotiana benthamiana
Lineage: Eukaryota; Viridiplantae; Streptophyta; Magnoliopsida; Solanales; Solanaceae
Description: long non-coding RNA (NBEN_LNC008865)
Source: RNAcentral